AUCGUAGGAUUGCGCUUCGGCCUCAUUGACUGAGUUAAAAGGGAAUCCGGUGUGAAUCCGGAACUGGCGCGCAGCGGUAUGGGGAAAUCACGGCGAUAGCAUUCUUUAUUAUGCAGACACUGUUUCUUCCUUCUCUCCUUAUACAGGAAAGGAGAAAGAGGAGAUGGGAAGUCAUCGCCCGGUGCAGGUACUUUUCAAUUAAUUAUGUCGUAAUUAAUUAGUCUGCAAAUCCUAAGUCCGAAGACCUGCCGAUGUUACGUCGCAUUA
This 267-nucleotide non-coding RNA is filed under the name Rahnella aquatilis. RNAcentral also lists the same sequence under 1 other name. Lineage: Bacteria; Pseudomonadati; Pseudomonadota; Gammaproteobacteria; Enterobacterales; Yersiniaceae. The record is from RNAcentral.